This 871-nucleotide long non-coding RNA is filed under the name Ricinus communis (castor bean). RNAcentral's name for it is "long non-coding RNA (RCOM_LNC003154)". The record is from RNAcentral. Lineage: Eukaryota; Viridiplantae; Streptophyta; Magnoliopsida; Malpighiales; Euphorbiaceae.
AACACAAAAGAAAAGGGAUUCUGCUUUUCUUUUUUCGCUUGUUUCUUUCAAAAAUCUUACUUCCAAGAUUAUAUCAAGAAAAUGAAGAAGACUAAAAGAUUUUUCUAUUCAGAGAGUUAAAUAACAAGAACAGGAACAAGAACGAAACCCAAGCCAAGUUUCUAACUUUCUUCAAGAAAUGAAAGAGAAAUAACCAGAGAUUGAGUAACACCCAAACUCUGACUAUAAAAUGAGUGUAAAAAAAGCGUGGUGGUCUAGAGGUAUUUAAAAAGAAGAAGAAGCAGAAGCAUUAUAUAAAAAGAUAGUCCAAGAAAGAAAGAGUAAAAAAGAUGACAAGUAAUAGGCAAUAGUAGCAUAAACAUGCUUAUCGUUUGCUACUAUACAUCAUUGUUUAUAAUAAUAAUAAAAAUAGUAACAGCAAAUAAUAAUAAUAAUAAAUUUCAAGAAGAUAUUUAUUUUCUUGAUGGGUAGGUUUCAUAUAAUAUUGAAAACUACUUAUAACAGAGAAGGACAACAAAGACAAGAAAAGAAGUAAGCCCUGUUAAUGGCGGCGAGAAUCAGAGGGAAGAAAGAAGGAGAAAAGGAAAGGUCAGAGUCUGAGAGAGAGAGAGAGAAAGAGAGAGUUUUUGUUGUAGCAGGAAACAGGGUCUUUUCUAUCUGAUUAAACAGCGAACGAGGAAGGUAAAGGGGGAGGGGAUACAGAGAGAAAGAAGGAAACUGGUAAAAAAGUCAGUUUUAGGACAGUCAAAACGUUUCAUUAUUUACCUUCUCUUUUUAAAACCCUUUUUUAAUUAUUGGAAUAGGGAUGUAAUUUUGCUUAUUUGGAGGUUAAUCAGGGUUUUUCUAGUGGCUAAUCCAAUUUACUACUCUA